This 492-nucleotide ribosomal RNA is filed under the name uncultured bacterium. RNAcentral describes it as "partial 16S ribosomal RNA". It matches the Rfam family "Bacterial small subunit ribosomal RNA", at positions 29 to 507 of the family's 1533-position model. The record is from RNAcentral.
AGUGAACGCUGGCGGUAGGCCUAACACAUGCAAGUCGAACGGCAGCACAGUAAGAGCUUGCUCUUACGGGUGGCGAGUGGCGGACGGGUGAGGAAUACAUCGGAAUCUACCUUUUCGUGGGGGAUAACGUAGGGAAACUUACGCUAAUACCGCAUACGACCUACGGGUGAAAGCAGGGGAUCUUCGGACCUUGCGCGAUUGAAUGAGCCGACGUCGGAUUAGCUAGUUGGCGGGGUAAAGGCCUACCAAGGCGACGAUCCGUAGCUGGUCUGAGAGGAUGAUCAGCCACACUGGAACUGAGACACGGUCCAGACUCCUACGGGAGGCAGCAGUGGGGAAUAUUGGACAAUGGGCGCAAGCCUGAUCCAGCCAUACCGCGUGGGUGAAGAAGGCCUUCGGGUUGUAAAGCCCUUUUGUUGGGAAAGAAAAGCAGCAGGUUAAUACCCCGCUGUUCCGACGGUACCCAAAGAAUAAGCACCGGCUAACUUCGUG